This 272-nucleotide ribosomal RNA is filed under the name Anopheles stephensi (Asian malaria mosquito). RNAcentral's name for it is "partial 28S ribosomal RNA". Lineage: Eukaryota; Metazoa; Arthropoda; Insecta; Diptera; Culicidae. The record is from RNAcentral.
ACACACACAUGUGAGCAUGGGUGAAGAGCGAGCGCGCGUCAAGUCGCACGGUUCGACCUCUAGUAUCAACCAACGGAUGUAUCCACCACAGCAUAUAAGGUUAUCACCAAUUGCACGGGGACUUCCACCGGUUGGCUCGGGUCGAGUAACACUUGCGGCCCAACGCGCUCGUAUCUUUCCUCGCAUCCAGUUGCAGUCGCGAGACGUGCUCACGCCGUGUGGGUGAGUGAGGUUAGCACGACAGGGGUGAUUUAUCACCGCUUCUCCCGUCG